This 3832-nucleotide long non-coding RNA is filed under the name Olea europaea subsp. europaea. The record is from RNAcentral. Lineage: Eukaryota; Viridiplantae; Streptophyta; Magnoliopsida; Lamiales; Oleaceae.
CUUUUAGUCAAUCCAAACUUAGUUUGAUUAUGAUAAACUUCUUCAUUAAUUAGGAUUCGUCAACUAGUCACACUAUAAAAAAGGGAUUAGAUUAGUCAGAUUUCAAAACUAAUUGUUUCCAACAUAAAUCGUCCCAAAUUACUAGAAAAACAAGAAGCCUUUCAUCCAUUAGAAAUUAUUUCAAAGCAUUACAUACACCAUUAUCUCGAACUUGCAAUCGUAUUUUUGAAUCUAUCGAGUUAAGAUAUUUUUGUGCAAGUGUUUUCAUUUCCUUAUACUUUUAUAUUCAAUUAAAUAUGCAUAGAUUGCCAGUAGACAUUCGGAUUCCAUAAAAAGCGAGAUGAAAUCUUACGGGAUUAUAAGAGGACCUAAGAUGGGUAUAUCGCUUGAUCACCAAUAUACAACAUAAGCGCAGAGUGGUAAGAAGUGUAAAUUUUAUUUUUUUAUAUAAUUUUGUAUGGAAAUUGUUGACGUCAAAAUUAGCAAGGUUAAUCUUAAUCCAACUUUAAGAAAAAAGGCGAUUUAUUGUUGAAAAAGACCACAAAAUGUGUUUAGAAAGUGUAAUUGUGUCAUGAGUUGUUAUAUGAAUUCAAUUGCCCUUUACAAGAGUCCUAUUCAACUAUUUAUACAUAAUUUCAGUUGAAAUCACAUCAAAUCAGUCAAAUCAGCAACAGUACCGAGCUCGGACUCGGGUCGCUGAAUUCUCCUGUGAUUGGUCGACGAGGUCGAUGGCCAUCUGUCAAUGUUUUUCCCAGGUAAUGAUGACCUGCAAGGGGCUUGAGAAUUAGGACUUAGGUUUGGUAGUUUCGGGCGGCGAUGAUGUCACCUGCAGCAAGUGUAUUUGAUUGAUAGGGUGAUGUGACAGGGGAUAAUCAUGAUGUUUUUCUGAGAUAACGGCGGGAUUGUCCGACCUAGUAAUAGGAACCGAACUCCCAUUUGCCUGAGGUGGGGUUAGCGAACUGUUUUAACUUAGAUCGGAGUUCGGUUGUCAACAGUUACCCCCAGGUCAGUUCUGUCGUGGGGGGCUGACCUCAGUGAUGCUUUCUCUAAGAAGUGUAUUUAUUAUUGCACCAAGUGUCAUCUUUUGAUGGGGAUUAGCUGUACGGUAUUUGUAAGUAGCUUCUUCAGCAAGCUUGGUUAAAACUAUGUCAUUUCGGUCUCUCAGGCUUCUGAGCUGUUGAUUUUCCCCUCAUUUCUAGAUAGACGGUUCAGAUCGUGCCCUCUCAGUUUUUCUUUCUUUAAAUUCCUUUUGGCCAGUAAUUUCGCCUCCUAUUUCACUGGUUUAUUCUCUCUCAAAUAUUCGUGCAAUCUCCUGAGUUCGUUUUUCCAUUUUCGAGUAAGGUCGUUUUCCCAGUUCAUUUCCCAGGUAUUCUUCUGUUCUUAUUUUUCUUCCUCCUUUCAGUUUGUGCUUUGUUUUCUAGUUUAUACAUGAGUUCGGAAGAGUCUAGAGUUCAUUCCUGGGGAAACCAACAGGAAGAGUCAAUUCCUCUUUCGACGAGUUCGUCCUCUAGUUGUAGGGAAGUUUUCACCCCUAUUCCUAUUUCCAUAAUUAACCCAAUCGACUUAGGAUUUCUUGUCAUGGACUUUGGAUGUUAGGGUUCCAAGGGAGAGGGUAGAUCCAAUAAGGAUGUUGAGGAGAGUAAUUCUGGAGAGUGGGGGGGACGAGUUCGUACAGGUCGGUCGUAACAAGGGAUAUGUUAGCCAGCUGGGGAGCUAAAUACGCUAUACCUAGUUCGAUAGUGAUGAUAAUACCAGAACCAUCUGACUGAGCUGACACUCUUCCUGAGGGAUAUGUUGCUCUGAACUCAGCUAUCCUUCAGGCCGACCUUAGACUUCCCUUUCCUAGGGCGAUUCGUAAAUUCCUUUCUUCCUAGGGCAUAGCUCCACACAGUUAUGCCCUAACGGGUGGCGAACCUUAAUCAUCGCCCUUAUUCUGUGGGACCAAAUGGGGAAUCUCGAGCUUAGUGUCCAGCAGUUCGACUCUCUGUUUACUUUUAAGGAGGAUGGAAGGAACUCGGGUUGGUGGUACACAAGCGUUAUGCCCAGGAAAGGGGGUUCUCUGGUGUUAGACACUCCUUCCUCAGUUAAGAAAUGGAAGGAAGAGUGGUUAUAUGUAUCGAGGGAGUGGCAGUUUCAUUCUGCCGGGGUGAAUAGAGAGGAGGUGGUCCCCAGGCUCUAUCAUUCUUUAUGUAAGUGUUUUUGGGCUUUAGUCUUUUAGCAAGACGUAUGUUAACGAAGUACUGACCUCGGUAUUUUUCCUUUGUGCAGAUUACAAGAAGGAGACGUUAACCAAAGAUACGCAGAGACGAGCUAAGGUAAUAAGAUCGUUAUCCAAAAGGCAAAGGUCAUGUAAGUUUGUGAUCUUAGAUCCGAACUUAUUCCGGGUCGGCUUGGUGCAAGUACGAUCUUCAAGUUCAGCUCCUUCCAAUUCAGGUUAUAUUUUAACCCUCAUUCGCGGUUGUGGUAUAUAUAUAUUGAGCGUUUCACUAUUUUCUCAGCUCAUCAAGACGAGAUGCGGGGCACAAAGCAAUAAUGGCAGCGGUUGCGGUCAAAGGAAAAAAGAGAGAUGUCUCAGAACGGUCGGAGAGCCAUUCUGAAGAGGUAGAGGAGGAGGUUCCACUAAAGAGGAACCGAUCUCGCCCCCGAUUGCACUGAAGAUUCCUGAGGCUGUGCCUUUAUCGAGCCCGUCUCCUACUCUAUCGUCGCCUUCUUUGCCAUCCCCAAUUGCACCCUUUGCUGUCGGGACCAAUUCUGUGAACUCGUAGGAGAGGUGCCCAGAUUAACAGAGGCCAAGCUUGGAGAGUUAAGUGGGACACCGACCAAAGAUAUUUCUUGAUUAUCUCCGAGCUCCUUCUCCUUCUAAGGAGGUGACUGCCACGCUCACUUCACCAUCGAGAGAGUUAGCUAAUCUGCUUAUUAGGAGCUUGGGUGAGAGAGAGCAGGGCUAUCUGAAUGAGAUGUCCAUUGGUGAGGCCUUGGUCACUGCUCAGCUCCAUGGUCACCAAUCAAUUUUAUACAUGAUGGCAAUGGCGGACAAGGUAUACUUCUUACUUUAUGGUGUUUUUUUUUUUUUUUUGAGCAACUAUUUUAUUGACUUACUUGAUUUUUGAUUUUUGAAAAACAUGUGAAGUCUGAGCUGGACAAGAUUAUAGACGCAAAGGAUCAAGCCUUUAGUCUUUAUAACAGCAUGGAGGCUGAAAAUGCCCAGUUUGCUCGAAGGAGAAAGAGUAUGAAGAGAAGCUGAAUCAAAUGAGGAUCGAGCUGAACUCCAGGAUCGAUGUCGAGGAAAAGCUGAUGGGAGAGAUCAAGGCCUUAACGGCCUCAGAAGAAGAAGCCAGAGCUCGGGCUGAGGAGCAUGGCAAGGUCAGGGAGGCCAUCCAGAAAGUGUAGGAGGCCAACGAAAGGGCAAGGAAGGCCACCAGAAGGGCUGAAGAGGCUAAAGCCAAGGCUGAUAGAGCGGUGGAGGCUUGGAAGGAAUCCCCCGAGUUUGACGUCGUAGCCAAGGACAUCUACGUGGUAGCACUGGAGGAGCUGGUGGGGCACAUCAGGAAGGAGAGGCUUGACAUUGACGUGGCCUUUCUGGAUGAAGCGUUGGACGGGCAGAAGGAGGAGCUGCGAAAGUUGUCUGAGGCUGCUGGAGUCCGAAUAUUACCGAUUGUCCAAGAUGUUGAGGAUAGUACCCCAGCCCCCCAAGACCCCUAGGAGGGUUUUUUUUUUUCUUUCAAAACAUUGUGUGGUAUUUAGUUUUGUAAUAUGUUUUGGCUUAUUAGUGAAUUUCGUUUUGAUGUUUCAUGGCAUUUUGUUUGGAAUGGAUGACUGUUUAUGCUCAGUA